Molecule: small RNA, 125 nt
Filed under: Marmota monax (woodchuck)
Lineage: Eukaryota; Metazoa; Chordata; Mammalia; Rodentia; Sciuridae
Source: RNAcentral
GCUGGGUGCGGUGACACAUGCCUGUAAUCCUAGCAGCUCUGGAGGCUGAGGCAGGAGGAUCAUGAGUUCAAAGGCAGCCUCUGCAAUGGUGAGGCACUAAGCAACUCAGUGAGACCCUGUCUCUA